This is a small nuclear RNA of Jaculus jaculus (lesser Egyptian jerboa), 105 nucleotides long. The record is from Ensembl. Lineage: Eukaryota; Metazoa; Chordata; Mammalia; Rodentia; Dipodidae.
AUGCUUGGUUAGGCAGCACAUAUACUGACAUUGGAACGAUACAGAGAAUUAUCAUGGCCCCCAUGCAAGAAUGACAUGCAAACUCAGGAAGUGUUACAUCUGUUU